RNAcentral lists this ribosomal RNA (253 nucleotides) under uncultured bacterium. RNAcentral describes it as "partial 16S ribosomal RNA". It matches the Rfam family "Bacterial small subunit ribosomal RNA", at positions 524 to 776 of the family's 1533-position model. The record is from RNAcentral.
UACGUAGGGUGCAAGCGUUGUCCGGAUUUAUUGGGCGUAAAGCGUCCGCAGGUGGCACUUCAAGUCUGCUGUCAAAGACCGGGGCUUAACCCUGGAAAGGCAGUGGAAACUGAAGCGCUAGAGUGUGGCAGGGGUAGAGGGAAUUCCCGGUGUAGCGGUGAAAUGCGUAGAGAUCGGGAAGAACAUCGGUGGCGAAAGCGCUCUACUGGGCCAUAACUGACACUCAGGGACGAAAGCUAGGGGAGCGAAUGGG